Molecule: long non-coding RNA, 755 nt
Filed under: Felis catus (domestic cat)
Lineage: Eukaryota; Metazoa; Chordata; Mammalia; Carnivora; Felidae
Description: lncRNA (ENSFCAG00000040657.2)
Source: RNAcentral
UAAACAAGUUAAGUCACUAAAGAUUUCCUGAUCCUGAUGCUGGCCAGACUAUGUGGAAAUGUGGUUCCUGAACAUGUUUCUGGAGGUGCUGGAUAUGAUUACAAACCUCAGGAAGCAGGUUGGUGGUGGAACGAUCAAUUGACAAGUAUGACCAUCCCAUUUAAGAGACCCACUUGUUGUAACCAUGAGAAAUAAUGAUGAAGAUACAAGGAAAAUAAGAUUUGGACUUUACAAUGAAAGAUCCUCAUUGCAGAAUUAGGGAGCUGUCACCACAGAUCGUGUGUAUGAGAACUCAGUUCUUAUAAUGGGAACCUGGGCCAAUUAACAUUCACCCUCAACAUGGCGCUUCAUCUGAUGAAAGCCAUUUCACGCCCAGGAGAAGAGUAAAAGAAACACAAGAACAGCUGCAGCAGUCAGAGCUCACCUUCGGACACCAGAGACUUUAGCCGAUCCAGAAGCUGGUGUCACUCCCAUGAGUCACAACAACAAGCACUCUACCAAAACAAAUGCCAAGAAGGACCAGGAAAAUGCUGGGGCCAUUUCAGUUGUAAGUCUGUCGGGACACCCUCAUUUGCGAUACAGCAUGCUCUCCAGCCUUUUCCCUGUUUUGUGUGUUGUGUGUGUGUGAUAUGUCUGCCUGUUUCUAUUUGCCAAAUGCACAUCCUUAACCCAAGAGUCUACAGGCUUCUCUCUUUUCAGCCUGUCACCUUUUUUCUGGUAAAUUUAGUGGCCAAAGGAACUUAGAGAUUGAGGAU